AUGCGGGGAAGGAACUGGAAUCUGGCUCCUUCAGAGGCCGCCCCCGGACCCAGGCGCCACAGGCUGUGCGGGGAGUGGGGACCCCCCGGCUCUCCAACACGGACCGACGUCCCGGGCGGCUCCGCCUCGCGCCUGCUUCCCGGUCCUGCAGGUCAGCGACGACCGCAGAUGGGACGGGAGCGCGAAGGUGGGUUGAGAGGGGUGUGUGUAUGCGCGGGAGAGGGGUCCUGCUAUUCUCAGGCGCUUUUAGGGAGACUAGAGUUGCCGACGAGAAUGUUAAGGAGCAGAUUCCUCCAACUUGCCCCUCUGUCGGGAAAAGACAGGACCGAGAGUGAGGCCCAGGCAACGACUGCCGCCUCUCGCCCUGCCCAGGGGAGUUUCGGGGAUCGAAAGCAGCCAGAGUCUGAGCUCGGGGAUGGGUUUUCAAAACACAGUUACUUCUUCCAGUCGUCUGAGGGAGAAUACGGUAAAGGCAAGAUCUCCGAUCCUGUUCCCCCACGGAAGCUCCUCUUCCUGGGAAAUCAGAGACUUGGGUUAUAUAAGAGCAUACAAGACACUUAAAUGAGAUCCCACGGUGUAUAAAUCCCACUGUGUCUCAGUGUCGUCGCUCUCCGAAUGUCCCUCUUCUGCGGGGACAGUUCACGUCGAAGCCCCAAGAGAAGCCCGUUUACUGUAGGUGUCUGCCCCCUCCACGACCUCAAGGAGACACACCCGUCCCAGCCCGCAGGCACAGAGAGCCUGAGGGAAAGAGCACCCGCAUGGAUGACUCCUCUCUGUGGGCACCGACCCCGCGCCGGCCGAGGAGGUCGAGACUGACCGGGCGAGAGCGGGAGACCGGGAUCAGGCUUGAUGCGUACUCUGUUCCCCACCCCUGCCUCCGGCCCAGGCUAAAGCAGGGUUUGGAGGCGGAAACAGCGGCGACCGCGGGAAUUCGCGGCGUCCCCGGGGACCGCCCGGGCGGAACCGCAGAGAGACGGGCACAGCGAGGUCCAGAAGAAUGGGAAAAGAGCUGCUCUUCCCUGGGAUUCGUUCCCCGGCUGCCAGGAUGCUCCCAUCUGGUUCCCCGUGCGCUCUCAAAUCUAUCUACAGGCAGAGAAAUCCACGCUCGUCUUUCCUGGGAAUUUAUUCUGUCGUGUCCCUGUGGGUGUUUCUUUUAAAGACCACUAUAGUGGGGAAAACCGGGAGGAGCUGAGAUGCAAUAAAAUUAGAACUCGUAAUUAACUAGUUGGGCCC
This 1233-nucleotide long non-coding RNA is filed under the name Bos indicus x Bos taurus (hybrid cattle). RNAcentral's name for it is "lncRNA (ENSBIXG00005026135.1)". The record is from RNAcentral. Lineage: Eukaryota; Metazoa; Chordata; Mammalia; Artiodactyla; Bovidae.